RNAcentral lists this ribosomal RNA (253 nucleotides) under uncultured bacterium. RNAcentral describes it as "partial 16S ribosomal RNA". It matches the Rfam family "Bacterial small subunit ribosomal RNA", at positions 524 to 776 of the family's 1533-position model. The record is from RNAcentral.
UACGAAGGGUGCAAGCGUUACUCGGAAUUACUGGGCGUAAAGCGUGCGUAGGCGGUUCGUUAAGUCUGUCGUGAAAGCCCUGGGCUCAACCUGGGAAUUGCGAUGGAUACUGGCGAGCUAGAGUACGGUAGAGGAUGGUGGAAUUCCCGGUGUAGCGGUGAAAUGCGUAGAGAUCGGGAGGAACACCCGUGGCGAAGGCGGCCAUCUGGACCAGUACUGACGCUGAGGCACGAAGGCGUGGGGAGCAAACAGG